Molecule: non-coding RNA, 355 nt
Organism: Paramuricea clavata
Lineage: Eukaryota; Metazoa; Cnidaria; Anthozoa; Malacalcyonacea; Plexauridae
Source: the annotation of a GenBank genome assembly
AACAAUGAACUUUCCGAUAAUAAGCACCCAAGUCUAGAAGGAUUUCCGAACAAUGCGUGCCUGUUGUUUGCGCAUGCUCAAACACUAACAGCCGCUGACCUACUAUCGCCAUGCGCAUGCUGGUAUGCCAGAAAUCACUGACCAUACUAACUAACACACUAACUGCGCUCUUUGUUGUUAACUUAGUUAAAUUGCAUUUAACUGCAUGAAAAUUAAGUUGAUUAACUAUCACUUUUCUCAGACAAAUAGAAUGAAUUAUCCUAAUGAGUAAUGAAUAUUGUCUGGCAUUCGUAUCCCGCGAAGCGAAUUACUAAACCUUCGCCAUUCAAAGUCGCCAUUGACAUCUGCGUCCAGC